UGGNGCUCAGUCAUCAACUUUAGGUGUCAGUU
Molecule: non-coding RNA, 32 nt
Filed under: Mus musculus (house mouse)
Lineage: Eukaryota; Metazoa; Chordata; Mammalia; Rodentia; Muridae
Source: RNAcentral